Molecule: ribosomal RNA, 435 nt
Filed under: Bacillus pumilus
Lineage: Bacteria; Bacillati; Bacillota; Bacilli; Caryophanales; Bacillaceae
Description: bacterial SSU rRNA
Rfam family: Bacterial small subunit ribosomal RNA
Source: RNAcentral
GGCAGCAAGGGAGAUUGUNUCCCGNUAUGUUAGCGGNGUGACGGGAUGAGAUAANACUGAUGGNCUAACCUGCCUUGCUCCGACUGGGGAUAACUCCGGGCAAACCGGAGCUAAUACCGGAUAGUUCCUUGAACCGCAUGGAUUCAAGGAUGAAAGACGGUUUCGGCUGUCACUUACAGAUGGACCCGCGGCGCAUUAGCUAGUUGGUGAGGUAACGGCUCACCAAGGNGACNAUGCGUAGCCGACCUGAGAGGGUGAUCGGCCACACUGGGACUGAGACACGGCCCACACUCCUACGGGAGGCAGCAGUAGGGAAUCUUCCGCAAUGGACGAAAGUCUGACGGAGCAACGCCGCGUGAGUGAUGAAGGUUUUCGGAUCGUAAAGCUCUGUUGUUAGGGAAGAACAAGUGCAAGAGUAACUGCUUGCNCCUUGAC